AGACGACGACGGGUAGCCGGCCUGAGAGGGCGACCGGCCACACUGGGACUGAGACACGGCCCAGACUCCUACGGGAGGCAGCAGUGGGGAAUAUUGCACAAUGGGGGAAACCCUGAUGCAGCGACGCAGCGUGCGGGAUGACGGCCUUCGGGUUGUAAACCGCUUUCAGCAGGGAAGAAGCGCAAGUGACGGUACCUGCAGAAGAAGUACCGGCUAACUACGUGCCAGCAGCCGCGGUAAUACGUAGGGUACGAGCGUUGUCCGGAAUUAUUGGGCGUAAAGAGCUCGUAGGUGGUUGGUCACGUCUGCUGUGGAAACGCAACGCUUAACGUUGCGCGUGCAGUGGGUACGGGCUGACUAGAGUGCAGUAGGGGAGUCUGGAAUUCCUGGUGUAGCGGUGAAAUGCGCAGAUAUCAGGAGGAACACCGGUGGCGAAGGCGGGACUCUGGGCUGUAACUGACACUGAGGAGCGAAAGCAUGGGGAGCGAACAGGAUUARAUACCCUGGUAGUCCAUGCCGUAAACGUUGGGSACUAGGUGUGGGGGGCAUUCCACGUUCUCCGCGCCGUARCUAACGCAUUAAGUGCCCCGCAGGGGGGA
RNAcentral lists this ribosomal RNA (599 nucleotides) under Brevibacterium sp. CMT77. Its description in RNAcentral is "bacterial SSU rRNA". It matches the Rfam family "Bacterial small subunit ribosomal RNA", at positions 271 to 873 of the family's 1533-position model. Lineage: Bacteria; Bacillati; Actinomycetota; Actinomycetes; Micrococcales; Brevibacteriaceae. The record is from RNAcentral.